UACAGAGGUGGCAAGCGUUGUUCGGAAUCACUGGGCAUAAAGGGCGCGUAGGCGGUCGAUCAAGUCGGUUGUGAAAGCCCUCGGCUCAACCGAGGAACUGCAUCCGAUACUGAUUGGCUAGAGUAUGGUAGGGGAGAGUGGAACUCCUGGUGGAGCGGUGAAAUGCGUAGAUAUCAGGAGGAACGCCGGUGGCGAAAGCGACUCUCUGGACCACAACUGACGCUGAGGCGCGAAAGCCAGGGGAGCAAACGGGAUUAGAUACCCCCGUA
Molecule: ribosomal RNA, 269 nt
Filed under: uncultured prokaryote
Description: partial 16S ribosomal RNA
Rfam family: Bacterial small subunit ribosomal RNA
Source: RNAcentral